Molecule: transfer RNA, 76 nt
Filed under: Clostridium liquoris
Lineage: Bacteria; Bacillati; Bacillota; Clostridia; Eubacteriales; Clostridiaceae
Description: tRNA-Pro
Rfam family: tRNA
About the family: Transfer RNA (tRNA) molecules are approximately 80 nucleotides in length.
Source: RNAcentral
CGGGGUAUAGCGCAGAUGGAAGCGCGCGUGGUUCGGGACCAUGAGGUCGCAGGUUCAAUCCCUGUUACCCCGACCA